This 497-nucleotide ribosomal RNA is filed under the name uncultured bacterium. RNAcentral describes it as "partial 16S ribosomal RNA". It matches the Rfam family "Bacterial small subunit ribosomal RNA", at positions 28 to 507 of the family's 1533-position model. The record is from RNAcentral.
GAUGAACGCUGGCGGCGUGCCUAAUACAUGCAAGUCGAGCGAACGGACGAGAAGCUUGCUUCUCUGAUGUUAGCGGCGGACGGGUGAGUAACACGUGGAUAACCUACCUAUAAGACUGGGAUAACUUCGGGAAACCGGAGCUAAUACCGGAUAAUAUUUUGAACCGCAUGGUUCAAAAGUGAAAGACGGUCUUGCUGUCACUUAUAGAUGGAUCCGCGCUGCAUUAGCUAGUUGGUAAGGUAACGGCUUACCAAGGCAACGAUGCAUAGCCGACCCGAGAGGGUGAUCGGCCACACUGGAACUGAGACACGGUCCAGACUCCUACGGGAGGCAGCAGUAGGGAAUCUUCCGCAAUGGGCGAAAGCCUGACGGAGCAACGCCGCGUGAGUGAUGAAGGUCUUCGGAUCGUAAAACUCUGCUAUUAGGGAAGAACAUAUGUGUAAGUAACUGUGCACAUCUUGACGGUACCUAAUCAGAAAGCCACGGCUAACUACGUG